GCUCUUGGCAACGAGGCUGCAGCACCCGGCCUCCUGCCUGCCGGAGCGUGGGCGGCCAGCUCCGACUGCUUCCAGGAUUUGGGGCCAGCGCCACUUUCUGUGGAGCCCCAGCCCUGCCCCCGCGGGACCUGGGAUGGAAGCCAGGGCCUCUGCAGAGCAUGCAGCCCACCCCAUUUUACAGACACAGCAAGAAGGCAUUGUCUGCAAACCAGAAGAAGAGCCCUUACUAGAACCUGGCCAUGCUGACACCUGCUACUGGACUUCUCAACUUGCAGGAUGGCGAGAGAGUUUUCUUGUUCAUAAACAGCCAGGCUAUGAUAUUUUGUUAAACCAGCUCAAAUGGACUGAGACGCCAUAUUGUCUAACCCUUCGUCCUUUGAGCCAACAACCUUGGUUCAGUAACUGCAUAUACACUGGGCCAGUUUUGACCACUGAAGCCAAUGCUGACUGCCCCAGAGGCAGACAUGAGACUCUUCUGGGACUUUCAUGGUUGUGUGAUGGCCACCUGGGACAGUUCCCUCAUUUGGACACCGAUGCUAGCUCUGGGCCUACAUUCCCCACCUGUCAGAACAUUGCAGGUGAAGGUUUCCAGGUAGAGACCAAAGAAACUUCCCCCAUGGCCCACGGGCCCACCAGGGGAUGGGACAGGGGCUGUCUCAGGAGCUCUGACCUUAACCUCCUGCAAGACUCCACUGUCCAGACAUUUUGGGAGUAUGAAAGAUCAUUAUGGUUCUUGCCAAGAAUGCAGCUCUUGGAAAGAAGGGGCCUCCCAUCCAGUUUCCCAAGAUAAAACUUGGUCUGUAGGGGACUCACUGGGAGCCAAGGGCCUUCCCUGCUAUUACCCUGAAAAUAGAGCCUUGGCCCAAGGGUCCUAAUUUUCCAUGGAGUCUUGGGGUUUAGAUGUUCCCCUCGAGAUAGAUCUAGCCCCAUGCCUUCAUUACUCAAUGUCUAGAGAGAGGGAAAUGAUGGCACAAGCAAGGGAUAGGGACAAGGUCCAGAGUCAAAGGGUAGGGAAGGGUGUCAAGUCCCAUCCCUGUUACUCCCAAGCUAUGCAAUGACAGACAAAUCACACCACUUCCCUGAGCCUCAGUCUUCCCAUCUGUAAAAUGGAGCUUGGGUGAUCAACUACUGUAAAUUCCUCCAACAGUUUUUUACGUCUUAGGAGAAGGACCAUGCCAAACUCUUGUUUCUCUCCCAUGUUCCUAGCACAGAACCUGGAAGAGUAGUCCUGUCCUCAUCAUAGGGUAGAAGCAAACCGUCAGGUGAUCCAGCAUGUACUCAUUUCGCUCAUGAAUUCAUGCACUUGUUCAACCAAGAUGCACUGUCAUCAUCUCUAUGCAGAGGACCCAGCAGUGAGGGGGACAGAGUGGUGGGAUAGGACAGGUGAUCACCACGCACCAGAAUGUGGGAAGCACAGGGCGCAGAGCCCCGUGGGCACCUCAGUUUCAUAGAACCCAAGAAAUCUUCCUUGAGAAGGUGCUGAUUCAGUCAAGACCUCAGAGAUAUGAAGAUCGAACGGAAACAAAAGAAGUAGGAUUAGAGUUCCAGGAAGUAGAAGGAGAGAAGAACCACCUGGAGGGGCUCAUGUGAUCCCCUCCUCCAUAUCUGUUUCACCAAGAAACCACCUUACCCCAGCAGAGACCCGCAGGGCGGUUCAGGACCACGGAGAGCACCACAGUGACAUGGUGGCCACCUGCUCUUGCUAAC
Non-coding RNA from Oryctolagus cuniculus (rabbit), 1707 nucleotides. NCBI's taxonomy places the organism in Eukaryota, Metazoa, Chordata, Mammalia, Lagomorpha, Leporidae. The record is from RefSeq and is a predicted model, not a curated record.